UGGGGAAUCUUGCACAAUGGGCGCAAGCCUGAUGCAGCCAUGCCGCGUGUGUGAAGAAGGCCUUCGGGUUGUAAAGCACUUUCAGCGGGGAGGAAGGCGAUAAGGUUAAUAACCUCAUCGAUUGACGUUACCCGCAGAAGAAGCACCGGCUAACUCCGUGCCAGCAGCCGCGGUAAUACGGAGGGUGCAAGCGUUAAUCGGAAUUACUGGGCGUAAAGCGCACGCAGGCGGUCUGUCAAGUCGGAUGUGAAAUCCCCGGGCUCAACCUGGGAACUGCAUUCGAAACUGGCAGGCUAGAGUCUUGUAGAGGGGGGUAGAAUUCCAGGUGUAGCGGUGAAAUGCGUAGAGAUAUGGAGGAAUACCGGUGGCGAAGGCGGCCCCCUGGACAAAGACUGACGCUCAGGUGCGAAAGCGUGGGGAGCAAACAGG
This 429-nucleotide ribosomal RNA is filed under the name Chloroflexota bacterium. Its description in RNAcentral is "Chloroflexi bacterium partial 16S ribosomal RNA". It matches the Rfam family "Bacterial small subunit ribosomal RNA", at positions 355 to 776 of the family's 1533-position model. The record is from RNAcentral. Lineage: Bacteria; Bacillati; Chloroflexota.